GAUGUAUCGAUUUGUUCAAGAUGAUUAUUUAUUGUCUUUUUAAUAUAAAAGUGAAGUUUUUUUAAAGAAAGGGCAGUAGUUGAGUUAUACGAAGGACUGAAAUAAACUGGAUAUUAGAAACAUUGCAAGGUCAAUAUGAUGGUGAAACAUAUUGCUGCAUUACUGGUAUUGAACUUGGUUCUAAGCUUAAAUGUUCAACUAGUAAACGCCCAGCGUGGGAUAUUCGGAACUGUUUUAGGACUUGGCACUGGGUAUGCUUUAGGGAGAGCCUUUGGUAGAGGAUUAUACGGAUAUGGAGGAUAUGACUAUCCAUACGGCGGUUAUCGAUACGGUGGCUAUCCAUACGGUAGAUAUCGAUACGGUGGCUAUCCAUACGGUGGCUAUCCAUAUGGUGGAUAUUACCAUAGACACAGAUAUGGCGGAUUUCCACACAGUCAUGGUUAUGGAUAUUGAUACGCAUUGGAACUAAGAAGUGCCUUCUAGCACUCUGUACAGUAAACUGUUCUGAACUCACAAGCUAAGUGUUAUAUGUGCUAUUAAAGCUAUAGAUAUGUA
Molecule: long non-coding RNA, 555 nt
Organism: Mercenaria mercenaria
Lineage: Eukaryota; Metazoa; Mollusca; Bivalvia; Venerida; Veneridae
Exons: 2
Source: RefSeq, a predicted model, not a curated record